GCCUUCUUAGCUCAAUUGGCAGAGCACACGGUUUACAUCCGUGGGGUUAUAGGUUCAAGUCCUAUAGGAGGCA
This 73-nucleotide transfer RNA is filed under the name Anaerolineales bacterium. Its description in RNAcentral is "tRNA-Val". It matches the Rfam family "tRNA". Rfam says of the family: Transfer RNA (tRNA) molecules are approximately 80 nucleotides in length. Their secondary structure includes four short double-helical elements and three loops (D, anti-codon, and T loops). The record is from RNAcentral. Lineage: Bacteria; Bacillati; Chloroflexota; Anaerolineae; Anaerolineales.